GGGGUGGGGGGGUGGGGAGAAAGUACACUAGAUAUACAUCAAGCACAGGACCUCUUUCCCAUCCCCUCAAAAACCGGCUUGUUGCUUGUUUUUUAUCCUGGUCACAUUUUUCUUAUCAAACUCUAACGACAAACUCCGCAGGCACUGAAUUCCCGAGGAAGGAAGGUCACUGCGCUCCUUUUUUAGAGCACGGGUGUGGGGGAGAGGGGGGGUGGAGGAGAAGAACAGAAUUACCCGAAAUUGCACGUCCAUAGCCUGCCUGCCGCGGCUUAACCUGCUCCACCCAAGCGGUCUUAACCCCGCACUCAAACCCCUACGAGGCUCGGUUUCCUCAUCCGUACGCCGCGCGAGCAACUUGGCCGAAGGGCCCUCGGCGCUGGGGCCUACAGAGCCGGAGCACCAAUUCCUGCAGCGGGUGGGCUCGGGCAGGAGAGGAGAGACAGCCCCAAGUAAGCGCCUCACCCCCCGCUGCCGCUUUUGUUAUUCACAGCUCCGGGAUACGGAGGGAUAGAGAGAGACCGAGGGAGACAAGCCACAGGAAGUUAAGAAAGGCAAGUGGGUGGGGGUGGGGGACGAGAUCAAACAGCAAACGUGGACGGCCCGGAGGGCGUGGAGAAGGCUGAGCCAGAGACGGGAGAGGCCCCUGGGAGUUAACCGCACCGCCUAGGGACGUCGAUGGGGAGAAGCGGGCCGCGGCCGAGCCGAGCCGGGAAGGCAGGCGGAGGGCGGCAGAGGCCCAGGCGGCACGCGGCUGAGGUGGAGGCGGUAUCUGCUUUACUAUUGGACAAAGGACCCGCCGACUUUGAAAGCGGUAUGGAGACAGCCAGAGGAUUGGUCGCUCGGAGGCUUUAUGGGAAAUGAGACUUUAGCAAAGAGGAACCACCGGCGCCCUCUCGCGGUAAGCGAAACUAGGUCCUCCCACGUUUCGCCCAGCGUGAAGUAGCCACGUGUCUGCCGGCUUCCAGGAGACCCAAUUGUGGAGCCAUAUUGGCCACUAGUAGCUCAGGCCGAAAGCAUUUCCACGGGGUGAGCCAAUCAAAAAAGACCUGGAUCGCGCCUAAACCAAUCAUAGAGUUGAGGCGGAAGGAGUUUUCGCUAUUUGACUUAUUGGAGUCUUAAGUCAGCACUCGGCUGUGUAUCCAGUUUAUGAAAUAAUAUCUGGUGAUUACAAGAAGACCUCCUAAAAUUGUACUAAUUAGUUGCAUCUGAUGGGUGUUCUGAGUUGCUUUAUUGAAAAAGUAAAUUGGAGAAGCCAGCCUCUUAGCAGUACACAGCCUUAGCGUCCUCCUUCAAUCUCAAAAUGCAGUUAUCUGAAAUUGGCACACCCUGCUACCCAAAAAGAACUCUAAAUAUUUCUUUUAUUCUUCGAUUAAAGGGGAAAAGACGGCUGAGGCUCUGGAGUUGCAAAGACAAGAUGAAAGCAAACCUAUUAAUAAAGAGCUCAAAGCAUUAAUAAAUUUUACUCAGACUUAACAGUGUAUACCAGUACUUUCCAUACAAUUAAAAAAAUAAAACCACCACCACCAUGGGACCAGCGUUGUGACACAGCAGGUUAAGCUGCCACCUGCAGCGCCAGCAUCCCAUGUUAGAGUGCCUGUUGAAGUCCAGGCUGUUCUAUUUCCCAUCCAGUUUUCUGGAAAGCAGAGGAUGAUGGUCCAAUGCCCUCCCCCCACCACGUGGGAGACCCAGAUGGAUUUCUGAGUGCCUGGCUUUGACCUGUGGCCAUUUUGGGAGUGAACCAGAGAAUGGAAGAUGUCUCUGUCUGUCUCUCCCUCUUUCCCCUUCAAAUAAAAAAAAUUUUUAAUGAAUUUUUAAUUUUUUUAGUUACAUUUCCUUUUUAUUUUUCAGUUUUUAACAGAUUAAAUGUAGCUUCAAGAUACAGUUCUAAGAAUGUUUAAAAAAAACACACAACAAAACAAGAAGUGAGUCAUAUGCAUAGCCAGUUAAUAUAUAAGAAUGAGGCAGAAAAGUAACUUGCCCCAAAUCCCACAGCUAGUAAGUAGCAAGCGUGGCCUUAACCAGAAGGCAGUGUGGCACAAAAUUCGCGCUUUGAAUUACAUGAUCCAGAAUAAUUGGGUCCACAGAAAAAUGCUCACAGCACCAGUAUCCACAAUAGCCAAGAAGUGGAAAUAAUCUAACGUCUAUCAGCCGGUGAGUGGUUUAGAAAAUGUGCUACAUCCAUACAAUGGGAUAUGUUCAGCUGUAAAAAGGAAUGAGGUACUGAUAUAUGCUGCAACAGGGAUGAACCUGGAAAAUAUAGUACGUGAAAGCAGCCACACACAAAUAGCUACAGAUGGGAUGACUCGUUUCUAGGAAACGGUCAGAAUAGGCGAAUCUAUAGACAGAAAAGCGAGUAACUGGAGGUGACGACAUGCCCCUGAAGUCCCUCUUGGAUGCUAACGAGAUUCUGGUACUGGGUAGUGGUAGUGGUGGCCCAAUUCUGUGACUACAUGAAAACCCAUUGAGAGGUCACAUCGAAUGGUGGGUUUUGUUGUAUGUGAAUUGUAUUUCGAUAAAAAGUGCCACGUUCUCCUGAUUCUCAGCUGAAUAUUCCCAAUCAGUUAUGUCUGAUAAAAUGUGGUAAGUGCUAAACACAGAGUUCUGAGCAUGAGUAAUUGGAGAAGGGAUGGUAACAUUUCAGUAAAGAUGUGACAUUUGAACAAAAAACUAAAAGUGGGGCGUUCGAUUCUUUUUUCAACAUCAGUAUUCAUCCCCAAGUGCUGGCCAACUUACUCUGAAAAUAAUACUGGCAUGGAGGGCUCAUUACAGCUGAAUCCCCACUGCUGAGAACACUGACUCAAAGUGGGCACCCUGUGGAAAGUGAGUCACUGGCAUUUAUAAAGGAUGAAAACAGUGUGAAGAAACUCCUUGCAGAUCCACUGAAAGUUCAUUAUCUACUGACUUCUAGCAUGUUAUCUAUACCUAAAUAUAGUUUAAGAUAUUUAAUUUCUUUUGUAAUCUUAUUUUCAAGUAGAUUAAAUGUAUAGUCAGCCCUCCAUAAAAUCCCUAAGUGCCACAUCUGCUAAGUCAGCUGCUUAUAAUUAGAAAACAAUAUUCAUUCAAAAAACACUGAAUCUUGGAGCAGGCAUGUGGGACAGCUGAGAUGCCACUUCGGGUACCGGAGUCACGUACUGGAGUUUGGCUCUUGGUUCCUCUCCUUCUGAUCCACCUUCCUGCUAAUGUGCACCCUGGGAGGCAGAAGAUGAUGGCUCAAGCACUUGGGUUCCUGACACUCCUAUGACAGACCUGGUUGGAGUUCCUGGCUCCUGGCUUCAGACUGGAGAGUGAGCCAGUGGAUGGAAAAAAUCUCUCUCACUAUCUUUCAAGUAAGAUGAAAAUAAAUAAAAAUCAACUUAUCUUUUAA
Molecule: non-coding RNA, 3364 nt
Organism: Oryctolagus cuniculus (rabbit)
Lineage: Eukaryota; Metazoa; Chordata; Mammalia; Lagomorpha; Leporidae
Source: RefSeq, a predicted model, not a curated record